CAGCCCCAGAUGACCGGAAGGACGGGUGAAUACUUCUGGAAGUAGUGUGGCACAGCCCUGCUCAAGCUACGAGGCAGUAGGCAAGCCUAAUCAUGUCCAGAACAAAGCCAGUACCAAGAGUGGAGCGUUUUGUGGUAUGCACAGGUAGGGGGGUUAAUUUGUAGCCAAGGGUAAAAGUAGUUCCUGACUUCUACCAACUGGAGAAACUGGGAAAUUGAGAGUAGCCCAGAGUGUCCCUUCCUCCUCUUGCCCAUGCAAGGGAACUGAGACAUAGCUCCACCCAUUGUGGACAGCGUCUUCUGGCUCUAUCCAAUCAGAAGGGUUGGAGACAUCUCCUGGAAGCAGUGUAACCCAGCAGCACUGGAACUGAGGACUGCUGUUUUCCUGCCCACCAUGUGACUCACAAGAUUAGAAACCAGGCCUUUCUUAAAGUCCCUUCCAUCAAGAUUCUAUGAAUUUUGUUCAUGCUGGGUGUCCACGAAUCACUCCGUCCUAUAGAUGGUCGGGCUGAGUCUCAAGGAUUGAAUGACCUGCACUCUGAAAAUCCCUACAGAGCAAUGACAGAGCCAGUUUCAUAAGACAUUCCCAGAAGAGGAAGGGAGUAGCUCACAUAUGCUCACCCUGCUACAGACAUCGUGUCCAACCAUGCUCAGAAGAAGAGGACAUCUUUCAGACCUCCAUGGCCCACAGCAGCUGCACUCUGGUCUGCUAUUACCUGGAGUUCUUUGCCAUCUGCUUACUAGGCUCUAAUAUUUAUCUCUAUCUCAGGUGAGAACAUUUCCCUUAGAGUGGCCACCUCUUUUCUGAAGAGGGGGGCAGGAACGUAAAGGAUGGGAAAAGAGGGGGUCCCGUGCAAGACGGUGGGAGGUAGUGGCCAGAGAGCAAAGUGGAUCCCCAGGUAAUGCUCUCUAGAGAUAUGGGAGAAGAAAUUCAGCACACAGUCUGCUGUUUCGUGUGAAGUUUCUUUCUGAGCUGUGCUCUAACGCCGGCCUCCCUCCAUUUCUCCAAGCAAGACUUCAGCAAAAUCUGCUGUCUCUGACUUCUUGGCAAGAGAGCUGAGCUUCAGAGACCGUGUCUAGCUUGUGGUCAGGUGAUGUGGUGAGUUGAGAUAUUACCUCACCUUUGAAGGCACACCACACCGGCUGGCUAAGUGACCUAGAUUUCAGGGGAAACAAGAAGUUGAGAACAGUAACUAUGGACGUGUAAGUCCCCAAAAUUCUAGAAACCUUGGGGACAUCACUGAUUUCCCACAGAAUGUGGGAUGAGGGAGGUUCGAACAAUUACUUUUUACAUUAAACACAUGAGUGCUCCCAGUAGGGACUCGGAAACAAUUCUGCUAGUGAGUGUAACUGUGUCCUUUCCUGCCAGGACAGAAAGGUUCUGGAAGGUUAGGGAGAUUAGUUUGAACUGAAGUCAGGAAAAGCCACUGCUGCCUGCCUGCACUUAGCCCUGAGGACCCCCUUUGCCGCUCUCUGAAAUCCAGCUUCCAUCCCUUUGC
Long non-coding RNA from Acinonyx jubatus (cheetah), 1498 nucleotides. RefSeq lists it as uncharacterized. The transcript has 4 exons. Lineage: Eukaryota; Metazoa; Chordata; Mammalia; Carnivora; Felidae. The record is from RefSeq and is a predicted model, not a curated record.